This 79-nucleotide transfer RNA is filed under the name Sphaerodactylus townsendi. Its description in RNAcentral is "tRNA-Ala". The record is from RNAcentral. Lineage: Eukaryota; Metazoa; Chordata; Lepidosauria; Squamata; Sphaerodactylidae.
GCUGUGUGUAGAUCAGGGCAAGUUGUAGAGCAUCGGCUUUGCAUGCAGAACAUCCCAGGUUCAGUUCCUGGCAUCUGCA